Molecule: ribosomal RNA, 722 nt
Filed under: Bacillus pacificus
Lineage: Bacteria; Bacillati; Bacillota; Bacilli; Caryophanales; Bacillaceae
Description: bacterial SSU rRNA
Rfam family: Bacterial small subunit ribosomal RNA
Source: RNAcentral
CUAAUACAUGCAAGUCGAGCGAAUGGAUUGAGAGCUUGCUCUCAAGAAGUUAGCGGCGGACGGGUGAGUAACACGUGGGUAACCUGCCCAUAAGACUGGGAUAACUCCGGGAAACCGGGGCUAAUACCGGAUAACAUUUUGAACCGCAUGGUUCGAAAUUGAAAGGCGGCUUCGGCUGUCACUUAUGGAUGGACCCGCGUCGCAUUAGCUAGUUGGUGAGGUAACGGCUCACCAAGGCAACGAUGCGUAGCCGACCUGAGAGGGUGAUCGGCCACACUGGGACUGAGACACGGCCCAGACUCCUACGGGAGGCAGCAGUAGGGAAUCUUCCGCAAUGGACGAAAGUCUGACGGAGCAACGCCGCGUGAGUGAUGAAGGCUUUCGGGUCGUAAAACUCUGUUGUUAGGGAAGAACAAGUGCUAGUUGAAUAAGCUGGCACCUUGACGGUACCUAACCAGAAAGCCACGGCUAACUACGUGCCAGCAGCCGCGGUAAUACGUAGGUGGCAAGCGUUAUCCGGAAUUAUUGGGCGUAAAGCGCGCGCAGGUGGUUUCUUAAGUCUGAUGUGAAAGCCCACGGCUCAACCGUGGAGGGUCAUUGGAAACUGGGAGACUUGAGUGCAGAAGAGGAAAGUGGAAUUCCAUGUGUAGCGGUGAAAUGCGUAGAGAUAUGGAGGAACACCAGUGGCGAAGGCGACUUUCUGGUCUGUAACUGACACUGAG